Molecule: ribosomal RNA, 262 nt
Filed under: uncultured bacterium
Lineage: Bacteria
Description: partial 16S ribosomal RNA
Rfam family: Bacterial small subunit ribosomal RNA
Source: RNAcentral
GUCCACGCCGUAAACGAUGAAUACUAGGUGUUGGCAGGCAGGGCCUGUCGGUGCCGCAGCAAACGCAAUAAGUAUUCCACCUGGGGAGUACGUUCGCAAGAAUGAAACUCAAAUGAAUUGACGGGGACCCGCACAAGCGGUGGAGCAUGUGGUUUAAUUCGAAGCAACGCGAAGAACCUUACCAAGUCUUGACAUCCCGGUGACAGAACAUGUAAUGUGUUUUCCCUCGGGGCACCGGUGACAGGUGGUGCAUGGUUGUCGU